CCCAACUGAACCACAUUGCGGCGCAAGAUCAAAGACCGCCCCUCGAUCUGUAAUGACAGCUUUGAUCAUUGUUUUGCCUUUGAUUUUUUCCGGUUACGUUUCUCUCUCAGCUGGCCUUUUUUUUUUGGCUGCGAGAUGGCCCAAUGCAUACGAUCAUCAGUCUUGUCGGUACGAGAUCUCUCGAUCACAUCGAAAGUACUUGGAAUUGUGGGAACGAGUGGGCAAAGAGGCUGUUUACGAUCAGUUUCGCACCCACUUGAGAGAUUUCGCCUUUGCCGAAUCAAUUUACAGCUGGCGAAAAACCAGCACCGACGGCAAAUUGGAGGCUAUUGCCGGAACUGGGGAAACUACACGUUUUCAAUCAUCCAUAGGUCGAGAAAUUUCUGGAAAAACCCAUUUUACGAUGUCAAAAGAAACUACGUUUUUUAUUCUUUAAGCUAUUAUAACGGUUACAGUACAAGACUCAAAAUGACUCACAUCAUUGUUUAAUUAUCAAUCAUCAUUCUAAUGAUUGUCAUAUCAAAAUCCUGACAGUUAACCCGGAACUCGAUGAGUAAGAGUUUUAAUGAAUGUAUCCUAAUUAAUUUGGUACCGCUUUUCG
Molecule: non-coding RNA, 601 nt
Organism: Drosophila melanogaster (fruit fly)
Lineage: Eukaryota; Metazoa; Arthropoda; Insecta; Diptera; Drosophilidae
Source: Ensembl